CCCUAUGGGGUGUAGCAGGCCCAAGGUAGUACGGAGAACGAACAUCAUGUCCGACGAACUACCAGGGUAAGCGCCGCAGGCGCGAAGCAGAACAGCCCAGGGUGGAGGCUGCGUAGCAGCCGGAACCCUGGGUUAUGAACACGCGAAUGAAAGCCCUGUAAGGGCGAUGCAACCCAUUCCGCCGCGUCUAACGACGCUGCAACUUAGAUAAUAUGAAUCCUGUCGAAUUUGCCCUCAUCCUGCUUAUAUCCAUUAUUUGCGGCGCGUUCGCCCAAUUGACGAGCGGAUUCUCCAAAGGCGGCUGGAUCAUUAAUCUAUUAAUCGGCUUCUUCGGCGCACUGGCCGGCGUCUAUCUAAGCCGGGUAUUCAAUGCGCCCGUCCUUUAUAACUUACGCAUUGGCGGGAGGGC
Molecule: ribosomal RNA, 409 nt
Filed under: uncultured prokaryote
Description: partial 16S ribosomal RNA
Source: RNAcentral